This 1763-nucleotide ribosomal RNA is filed under the name Escherichia coli. RNAcentral's name for it is "partial 23S ribosomal RNA". It matches the Rfam family "Bacterial large subunit ribosomal RNA", at positions 419 to 2167 of the family's 2925-position model. The record is from RNAcentral. Lineage: Bacteria; Pseudomonadati; Pseudomonadota; Gammaproteobacteria; Enterobacterales; Enterobacteriaceae.
GGGACACGUGGUAUCCUGUCUGAAUAUGGGGGGACCAUCCUCCAAGGCUAAAUACUCCUGACUGACCGAUAGUGAACCAGUACCGUGAGGGAAAGGCGAAAAGAACCCCGGCGAGGGGAGUGAAAAAGAACCUGAAACCGUGUACGUACAAGCAGUGGGAGCCUCUUAAUGGGGUGACUGCGUACCUUUUGUAUAAUGGGUCAGCGACUUAUAUUCUGUAGCAAGGUUAACCGAAUAGGGGAGCCGAAGGGAAACCGAGUCUUAACUGGGCGUUAAGUUGCAGGGUAUAGACCCGAAACCCGGUGAUCUAGCCAUGGGCAGGUUGAAGGUUGGGUAACACUAACUGGAGGACCGAACCGACUAAUGUUGAAAAAUUAGCGGAUGACUUGUGGCUGGGGGUGAAAGGCCAAUCAAACCGGGAGAUAGCUGGUUCUCCCCGAAAGCUAUUUAGGUAGCGCCUCGUGAAUUCAUCUCCGGGGGUAGAGCACUGUUUCGGCAAGGGGGUCAUCCCGACUUACCAACCCGAUGCAAACUGCGAAUACCGGAGAAUGUUAUCACGGGAGACACACGGCGGGUGCUAACGUCCGUCGUGAAGAGGGAAACAACCCAGACCGCCAGCUAAGGUCCCAAAGUCAUGGUUAAGUGGGAAACGAUGUGGGAAGGCCCAGACAGCCAGGAUGUUGGCUUAGAAGCAGCCAUCAUUUAAAGAAAGCGUAAUAGCUCACUGGUCGAGUCGGCCUGCGCGGAAGAUGUAACGGGGCUAAACCAUGCACCGAAGCUGCGGCAGCGACACUAUGUGUUGUUGGGUAGGGGAGCGUUCUGUAAGCCUGUGAAGGUGGCCUGUGAGGGUUGCUGGAGGUAUCAGAAGUGCGAAUGCUGACAUAAGUAACGAUAAAGCGGGUGAAAAGCCCGCUCGCCGGAAGACCAAGGGUUCCUGUCCAACGUUAAUCGGGGCAGGGUGAGUCGACCCCUAAGGCGAGGCCGAAAGGCGUAGUCGAUGGGAAACAGGUUAAUAUUCCUGUACUUGGUGUUACUGCGAAGGGGGGACGGAGAAGGCUAUGUUGGCCGGGCGACGGUUGUCCCGGUUUAAGCGUGUAGGCUGGUUUUCCAGGCAAAUCCGGAAAAUCAAGGCUGAGGCGUGAUGACGAGGCACUACGGUGCUGAAGUAACAAAUGCCCUGCUUCCAGGAAAAGCCUCUAAGCAUCAGGUAACAUCAAAUCGUACCCCAAACCGACACAGGUGGUCAGGUAGAGAAUACCAAGGCGCUUGAGAGAACUCGGGUGAAGGAACUAGGCAAAAUGGUGCCGUAACUUCGGGAGAAGGCACGCUGAUAUGUAGGUGAAGCGACUUGCUCGUGGAGCUGAAAUCAGUCGAAGAUACCAGCUGGCUGCAACUGUUUAUUAAAAACACAGCACUGUGCAAACACGAAAGUGGACGUAUACGGUGUGACGCCUGCCCGGUGCCGGAAGGUUAAUUGAUGGGGUUAGCGGUAACGCGAAGCUCUUGAUCGAAGCCCCGGUAAACGGCGGCCGUAACUAUAACGGUCCUAAGGUAGCGAAAUUCCUUGUCGGGUAAGUUCCGACCUGCACGAAUGGCGUAAUGAUGGCCAGGCUGUCUCCACCCGAGACUCAGUGAAAUUGAACUCGCUGUGAAGAUGCAGUGUACCCGCGGCAAGACGGAAAGACCCCGUGAACCUUUACUAUAGCUUGACACUGAACAUUGAGCCUUGAUGUGUAGGAUAGGUGGGAGGCUUUGAAGUGUGG